Molecule: ribosomal RNA, 403 nt
Filed under: uncultured bacterium
Lineage: Bacteria
Description: partial 16S ribosomal RNA
Rfam family: Bacterial small subunit ribosomal RNA
Source: RNAcentral
GACGAACGCUGGCGGCGUGCCUAAUACAUGCAAGUCGAACGCAGUGGGGACGGUUGAUUAACACGUGGGUAACCUCCCAUCAGAGGGGAUAACACCUGGAAACAGGUGCUUAAAUGAUAUUGAUGGAUGGACUCGCGGUGCAUUAGCUAGUUGGUGAGGUAACGGCUCACCUAGGCUACGGUGCAUAGCCGAGCUGUGAGGAGGAUAGGCCACACUGGGACUGAGACACGGCCCAGACUCCUACGGUAGGCAGCAGUAGGGAAUCUUCGGCAAUGGACGAAAGUCUGACCGAGCAACGCCGCGUGAGUGAAGAAGGGUUUCGGAUCGUAAAACUCUGUUGUUAGAGAAGCGGUAUCUAACCAGAAAGCCCCGGCUAACUACGUGCCAGCAGCCGCGGUAAUUC